UGCCUCGACAAUUUCGAGCAAUUAUUUUCUGUUGAAUUUUUUGCUUUUUUGACAUAUUUGCUUCGAGUUGAGUCUUGGAUUUUUCGAUGGCUUCUCUUCUGGUUCUAGUUCUUUGUUUGCGCCGCAUGUGUACGUUUCCAUUAAAAGCGACCUUGUUAAGGACCCGGCUCUGUUUUUGUUAUUACACCUAUCUCCAAGAAAACCAUUUCAAUUUACCAGGUUUCAUUUUGGACUUGUUUAAAUAAUAUAUGUUUUUAUCUAGAC
Molecule: long non-coding RNA, 264 nt
Organism: Drosophila elegans
Lineage: Eukaryota; Metazoa; Arthropoda; Insecta; Diptera; Drosophilidae
Exons: 3
Source: RefSeq, a predicted model, not a curated record